RNAcentral lists this long non-coding RNA (640 nucleotides) under Monodelphis domestica (gray short-tailed opossum). Its description in RNAcentral is "lncRNA (ENSMODG00000044554.1)". The record is from RNAcentral. Lineage: Eukaryota; Metazoa; Chordata; Mammalia; Didelphimorphia; Didelphidae.
CGUGGCUCUGUUGCUAUGGUAGUAAGAACAUGCUUUCGUUCUUCCAUAGGUGUUUGCAUGGGGACAUAUGUGGCUGUUUCCAUGGCAACAAGGUGCCUUAUCUCUUAGUGGAGCAGGAGUACAUAAGAAAAAAAGGCUUGAAUGAGUCCGAAGAGGGGGAAAUUGAAAGUGAAACUGGGCACUUCCAAAGCUAUGAUGCUGUGAGGCAAAGAAAAAAAUUCAACCUUCAAGUGUCCUGUGUUCAAGGAAUAAAAACCUCAGGAGUCCUGGCCUUCAACAAAUUUGAAGCCCAGUUCCUUAUCUUACAGAAGCAGAAAAUAAAACCCAUGGGGUCUCUUCCAGCUCUAAUGAUCCUGUGACUUGAGUUCUCUAGAAAUAAGGAGCCAUUUUGUAUUUGUAAAGGAUUUCAUGGAAAGGCACAGAGAACUACCUAGAAUGAGAAGGCCGGAAGGAAUUGAGGGAGCAUCACCCCUCCCUCCAUGAUCAAAAAUCACAAAUCCGUCAAAGCAACAUACCUGGCUGUAUUUCUAUUCUAAGCCUGUAUCACAUCUCAGGGUAAAUAUAUUACCUGCUGUGUGAAGAAGGGCCUCCUGUUAUUUGUCCUACAUUUAAUUAUCUCAAUGUAUGUUAUUUUCAGCUU